GCAUUCUUGUUGUGGACCCCCGGUUCCCUGGUUCGUGCCAUGACUCUUGGGUGUGGCAGCGUAACCCGCUGCGUGCACGCCUAGCCGCACAACUGCAGCCUGGCGAGUAUCUGCUUGGAGACUCAGGAUAUCCUCUCGAGCCAUGGCUGCUUGUUCCAGUACCUGGCAGCCAUGCCGGCACCACCUCUGAAGGCCACUACAACCAGGAGCACGCAUCCAUGCGCAAUGUUGUGGAGAGAUGUAUCGGGGUGUUGAAAAGCAAGUUCCGCUGCUUGCAGCGCUUUCGGACACUGCUGUACAGCCCCGAUAGAGCAGCGCGAAUCAUUUAUGCAUGCGUUGCUCUCCAUAACAUUGCCUUGGAGGCGGGCGACUGGACAUUGGAGGAUUAUGGUGGGGAAGUGCCACCAGCUGAGGAGCCAGAGGAGCCAGGAGACAUCCAGGUGCUGGCACCACAAGACGUGUUCCUCAGAGGAAGGCAGCAGCGCAGCGCAGUUGUCAACCUUUUCUGAAGGACACAGGAAUGGUGCUCAGCGAUGUCCUGCGCUAUGGCGCGCACCUGUUCCAGGAUCCCCUCCUGGGCUGCUGCCGUCCGUUCUGCCGCGACAGCGAGGCGGGUUGUUGAAGUC
This 626-nucleotide long non-coding RNA is filed under the name Dermacentor andersoni. RNAcentral's name for it is "uncharacterized LOC126546281". The record is from RNAcentral. Lineage: Eukaryota; Metazoa; Arthropoda; Arachnida; Ixodida; Ixodidae.